CCUACGGUGGGCAGCAGUGAGGAAUAUUGGUCAAUGGACGAGAGUCUGAACCAGCCAAGUAGCGUGAAGGAUGACUGCCCUAUGGGUUGUAAACUUCUUUUAUAAAGGAAUAAAACGAGGCACGUGUGCCUUUUUGCAUGUACUUUAUGAAUAAGGAUCGGCUAACUCCGUGCCAGCAGCCGCGGUAAUACGGAGGAUCCGAUCGUUAUCCGGAUUUAUUGGGUUUAAAGGGGGCGUAGAUGGGUUGUUAAGUCAGUUGUGAAAGUUUGCGGCUCAACCGUAAAAUUGCAAUUGAUACUGGCAGUCUUGAGUACAGUUGAGGUAGGCGGAAUUCGUGGUGUAGCGGUGAAAUGCUUAGAUAUCACGAAGAACCCCGAUUGCGAAGGCAGCUUACUAAACUGUGACUGACAUUGAUGCUCGAGAGUGUGGGUAUCAAACAGGAUUAGAUACCCGUGUAGUC
Molecule: ribosomal RNA, 460 nt
Filed under: uncultured bacterium
Lineage: Bacteria
Description: partial 16S ribosomal RNA
Rfam family: Bacterial small subunit ribosomal RNA
Source: RNAcentral